UACAUUGAUUUGUUUUUUCUU
RNAcentral lists this non-coding RNA (21 nucleotides) under Caenorhabditis elegans. The record is from RNAcentral. Lineage: Eukaryota; Metazoa; Nematoda; Chromadorea; Rhabditida; Rhabditidae.